RNAcentral lists this long non-coding RNA (284 nucleotides) under Elaeis guineensis (African oil palm). RNAcentral's name for it is "long non-coding RNA (EGUI_LNC031746)". The record is from RNAcentral. Lineage: Eukaryota; Viridiplantae; Streptophyta; Magnoliopsida; Arecales; Arecaceae.
AUUCUCAAUCGAAAAGGAUGUAGACCAUUGGAUCGACCUCUAGAUUGAAUCGGAGCUAUUAGAUUGCGCUCAAAAAUCCAUCUCUAUUAGUUCUCCCGAUCGACAAUGAUGUCAACUGUUGGAUUGUGGCCUUGGAUGAAAUGCAGCCAUCCAAUUGCGCAAAAUCAAUGGGUGACCACUGCUGGAUAUGGGAUGGAGGGAUCUCAAUCGUUCGAUCAAAUGUUCCGCACCUCUAAACCAUCGAUCAACAUCAAACGAUCUUCCACCUUUCGUGCACUGCAUAA